Molecule: ribosomal RNA, 460 nt
Filed under: uncultured bacterium
Lineage: Bacteria
Description: partial 16S ribosomal RNA
Rfam family: Bacterial small subunit ribosomal RNA
Source: RNAcentral
CCUACGGGUGGCAGCAGUGAGGAAUAUUGGUCAAUGGGCGCGAGCCUGAACCAGCCAAGUAGCGUGAAGGAUGACUGCCCUACGGGUUGUAAACUUCUUUUAUAAAGGUAUAAAGUGAGGCACGUGUGCCUUUUUGUAUGUACUUUAUGAAUAAGGAUCGGCUAACUCCGUGCCAGCAGCCGCGGUAAUACGGAGGAUCCGAGCGUUAUCCGGGUUUAUUGGGGUUAAAGUGAGCGUAGAUGGGGUGUUAAGUCAGUUGGGAAAGUUUGCGACUCAACCGGAAAAUGUAAAUUGAUACUGGCAGUCUUGAGUACAGUUGAGGUAGGCGGAAUUCGUGGUGUAGCGGUGAAAUGCUUAGAUAUCACGAAGAACUCCGAUUGCGAAGGCAGCUUACUAAACUGCCACUGACAUUGAUGCUCGAAAGUGUGGGUAUCAAACAGGAUUAGAUACCCGGGUAGUC